Cynoglossus semilaevis (tongue sole) is the source of this 1772-nucleotide long non-coding RNA. RefSeq lists it as uncharacterized. The record is from RefSeq and is a predicted model, not a curated record. The transcript has 2 exons. NCBI's taxonomy places the organism in Eukaryota, Metazoa, Chordata, Actinopteri, Pleuronectiformes, Cynoglossidae.
ACCUUUUUAUUUGCUGAACAAAAUGUUACUACCAUACAGGAAUGCAACAUAACAGGGCAUUGCAUCACAGAAAGUUAUAUCAUCCAGUGUAAAUGAACGCCAUUGCUAAAUCAUGACAACAUUUAACAAGUUACCUGUUACUGCAGCAGCAGCAGCAGCAGCAGCAGCAGCAGCAGCAGCAGCAGCAGCAGCAGUGCCAGAUACAUCAUCUGUAACACAUCACAUUUAUUGUCAUAAAAAACUAUAAUCUAAAGUCAAAUCUAACCUGGAGGUUAGGGUUAAUCUGCAUGUUUAAAAUGAAGGUAAAUUGUGUUUUUAUUGAGAAAAAAAAACUACUCAAAGUUCAAACCCGUCCAGCGCUCUCUGACCAUCCAAUCACAGGACACGAAAGCGAUGACACUAUGGUACACCAGCAAGGUGGCCCCAGUCUCACCACUGCAGAAACAAAUGGAACAAAGCAACAAGUUACAGCACUAUAUUUGUGAUGGUCUGGAGGCAGAUUUCUUGGCCCCUAGCAACACAUGAUGGCUAAUGCAUGAUUGGAUAAAUGCUCCAACAUUAAGCUGUCAUGUCAUCAUAUGGCGUGCAGAAAGACAUUUCUACAUUUUGAACAAAGAGUCUAAGAAAGAAUAAGUUAUAAGUGGGAAACUCAAAAUAUUGUAUUUAUAUAUAUUUUUAUAAUCUUGAAAUCUUGAAAAAUAGCAUGUGAAAGAUGAUUGGUUCUUAACUGGCCAAUCAUUGGAUGAGAAUGACUAGACCAGAGUUGUCUACAUGUUUUUGACUUGGGAGCUACUAUUAAAAUUACCAGGCUAAAACUACGUUGAAAAUGUAAAAAUAUAAUUACUCUAUAUAAACUUAAAAUACUUCAUAUAUACCAGUAUCAUAUUGGGGUACUUUGAUUCAAUGUGUGUAACUGUGUGGCACUUUUUUUUAAAAUUCUUACAGUAUAUGGUACAGGAUAAUAUUUAUUAUUAUUUGUAUAAUUUAUAUAUCUAUGUUUUAAUUAUUUUUAUUUACUUAUGAUCCCCUGCUCCUACCUCCCUCUACUGGCUGCCUAUGCAAUUUUCAAUUAAAUUUUAGAAAGUAAAUGUUUGUGAGGCCUCCCUUCCCUCCUGCCUGGUUCCCUGUGUUAAUCAGUGUAACCACCCUCACCUGUGGGGCCCUGAGUUUAUAAACCUCUCUCCCUCUCUCACUCAGUCUUUGUUGGAUCAGUGUUCACGGUGUGAUGUGGGUGCCUGUGCUGCAGUCCUGGGCCUGCUUGUUGUUUGUUCCUGCCCUGGUAUCCAGUGAGUUUAUUUUAAAUGCAUUUAAGUUUGAAGAAAUAUUAAUACACCUUCUGUUACUGAUAGUUGUCACUUGUUUGCUCUCUGCUUCCUGGCUGCAGUGUUAUGUGACUGUGUUAACUGUUAUAUUUGUGGAUAUUCUCAGUCAUCCAGGUCAUCAAAAAUAAUCUCAACAGCAAUUUAAAAUAGGCAACUUGAGCCUGAUGCUUCAGUGUCUGACCACCCAUCACUUCUUUUCAUCGCUAGAGGUGGGCUGAUUUAAAAACCACCUGAAGGCACAAGACAUACUACAAUUUUGUCAAAAUGACACAUUUCCACGAACACAGUGAAGUUUUAAUGACAAUGUGUGACUCUGUUAUCAGUACAGUUGAAAAGCAUGGCUUCAUAGUCAACUUAAUGGUCUGUGUUGUUUGUUUGUUCUUUUCAUAAUGAAAGUUCUAGGUCUGUUACCAAUUUGUUUAUGUUCAUUAAUAAAAGUUGAUACUUAAA